AGCCGCGGUAAUACGAAGGGUGCAAGCGUUACUCGGAAUGACUGGGCGUAAAGCGCGCGUAGGCGGCUACUCAAGUCAGGGGUGAAAGCCCGGGGCUCAACCCCGGAACUGCCUUUGAAACUAGGUAGCUAGAAUCUUGGAGAGGUCAGUGGAAUUCCGAGUGUAGAGGUGAAAUUCGUAGAUAUUCGGAAGAACACCAGUGGCGAAGGCGACUGACUGGACAAGUAUUGACGCUGAGGUGCGAAAGCGUGGGGAGCAAACA
This 262-nucleotide ribosomal RNA is filed under the name uncultured bacterium. RNAcentral describes it as "partial 16S ribosomal RNA". It matches the Rfam family "Bacterial small subunit ribosomal RNA", at positions 513 to 774 of the family's 1533-position model. The record is from RNAcentral.